GACGAACGCUGGCGGCGUGCUUAACACAUGCAAGUCGAACGGAAAGGCCCUGCUUUUGUGGGGUGCUCGAGUGGCGAACGGGUGAGUAACACGUGAGUAACCUGCCCUUGACUUUGGGAUAACUUCAGGAAACUGGGGCUAAUACCGGAUAGGAGCUCCUGCUGCAUGGUGGGGGUUGGAAAGUUUCGGCGGUUGGGGAUGGACUCGCGGCUUAUCAGCUUGUUGGUGGGGUAGUGGCUUACCAAGGCUUUGACGGGUAGCCGGCCUGAGAGGGUGACCGGCCACAUUGGGACUGAGUUACGGCCCAGACUCCUACGGGAGGCAGCAGUGGGGAAUAUUGCACAAUGGGCGGAAGCCUGAUGCAGCAACGCCGCGUGCGGUAUGACGGCCUUCGGGUUGUAAACCGCUUUCGCCUGUGACGAAGCGUGAGUGACGGUAAUGGGUAAAGAAGCACCGGCUAACUACGUG
Molecule: ribosomal RNA, 468 nt
Filed under: uncultured bacterium
Lineage: Bacteria
Description: partial 16S ribosomal RNA
Rfam family: Bacterial small subunit ribosomal RNA
Source: RNAcentral